This 68-nucleotide transfer RNA is filed under the name Hydromanicus wulaianus. RNAcentral's name for it is "tRNA-Asn". Lineage: Eukaryota; Metazoa; Arthropoda; Insecta; Trichoptera; Hydropsychidae. The record is from RNAcentral.
UUAAUUGAAAUCAAUAAAUUGAUUUAUCACUGUUAAUGAUAAUUAAGAAAUUCUAAUUUCCAAUUAAA